RNAcentral lists this ribosomal RNA (114 nucleotides) under uncultured eukaryote. RNAcentral's name for it is "partial small subunit ribosomal RNA". It matches the Rfam family "Eukaryotic small subunit ribosomal RNA", at positions 1676 to 1785 of the family's 1831-position model. The record is from RNAcentral.
UCGCUACUACCGAUUGAAUGGCUUAGUGAGGCCUUUGGAUUGAAAUCGAAGAAGCGGUUCUCCGUUUAAUCGAUUUCGAGAAAAUCGUCAAACUUGGUCAUUUAGAGGAAGUAA